This 482-nucleotide ribosomal RNA is filed under the name uncultured bacterium. Its description in RNAcentral is "bacterial SSU rRNA". It matches the Rfam family "Bacterial small subunit ribosomal RNA", at positions 28 to 507 of the family's 1533-position model. The record is from RNAcentral.
GACGAACGCUGGCGGCGUGCCUAACACAUGCAAGUCGAGCGGAGUCGAUCGACGGAAGCCUUCGGGCGGAAGAUGGUUGACUUAGCGGCGGAUGGGUGGGUAACGCGUGGGCAACCUGCCUCGAAGACCGGGAUAACAGCCCGAAAGGGCUGCUAAUACCGGAUGUGGUCAAGGAUCCGCAUGGAUUUUUGAUUAAAGGGGAAACCCGUUUCGAGAUGGGCCCGCGUCCUAUCAGCUAGUUGGUGAGGUAAAAGCUCACCAAGGCGACGACGGGUAGCCGGCCUGAGAGGGUGACCGGCCACACUGGAACUGAGACACGGUCCAGACUCCUACGGGGGCAGCAGUGGGGAAUCUUCCACAAUGGGCGAAAGCCUGAUGGAGCGACGCCGCGUGAGCGAAGAAGGCCUUCGGGUUGUAAAGCUCUGUCUGGAGGGACGAAGGAAGUGACGGUACCUCCGGAGGAAGCCACGGCUAACUACGUG